UACGUAGGGUGCAAGCGUUAAUCGGAAUUACUGGGCGUAAAGCGUGCGCAGGCGGUUAUGCAAGACAGGCGUGAAAUCCCCGGGCUUAACCUGGGAACUGCAUUUGUGACUGCAUAGCUAGAGUACGGUAGAGGGGGAUGGAAUUCCGCGUGUAGCAGUGAAAUGCGUAGAUAUGCGGAGGAACACCGAUGGCGAAGGCGAUCCCCUGGACCUGUACUGACGCUCAUGCACGAAAGCGUGGGGAGCAAACAGG
This 253-nucleotide ribosomal RNA is filed under the name uncultured bacterium. RNAcentral describes it as "partial 16S ribosomal RNA". It matches the Rfam family "Bacterial small subunit ribosomal RNA", at positions 524 to 776 of the family's 1533-position model. The record is from RNAcentral.